AAGAGAUUAGUUAAAAUAAUAACAUUAAUUUGUCAAAUUAAAAUUAUUUAUUAUAAUAUCACUUA
RNAcentral lists this transfer RNA (65 nucleotides) under Aphis aurantii (black citrus aphid). Its description in RNAcentral is "tRNA-Asp". The record is from RNAcentral. Lineage: Eukaryota; Metazoa; Arthropoda; Insecta; Hemiptera; Aphididae.